UACGGAGGAUGCAAGCGUUAUCCGGAAUGAUUGGGCGUAAAGCGUCCGCAGGUGGCAAUGUAAGUCUGCUGUUAAAGAGUCUAGCUCAACUAGAUACAAGCAGUGGAAACUACAUAGCUAGAGUACGUUCGGGGCAGAGGGAAUUCCUGGUGUAGCGGUGAAAUGCGUUGAGAUCGGAAGGAACGCCCGUGGCGAAAGCGAGGUCCUGGACGUCUACUGACGCUGAGACGCGAAAGCUAGGGGAGCGAACGGG
RNAcentral lists this ribosomal RNA (253 nucleotides) under uncultured bacterium. RNAcentral describes it as "partial 16S ribosomal RNA". It matches the Rfam family "Bacterial small subunit ribosomal RNA", at positions 524 to 776 of the family's 1533-position model. The record is from RNAcentral.